RNAcentral lists this ribosomal RNA (858 nucleotides) under uncultured bacterium. RNAcentral's name for it is "bacterial SSU rRNA". It matches the Rfam family "Bacterial small subunit ribosomal RNA", at positions 28 to 878 of the family's 1533-position model. The record is from RNAcentral.
GAUGAACGCUAGCGAUAGGCCUAACACAUGCAAGUCGAGGGGCAGCACGGGAGUAGCAAUACAACUGGUGGCGACCGGCGCACGGGUGAGUAACGCGUAUGUAAUCUACCUACAACAGGGGGAUAACCCGGAGAAAUCCGGACUAAUACCGCAUAAAACAGGGGUCCCGCCUGGGACUAUUUGUUAAAGAUUUAUCGGUUGUAGAUGAGCAUGCGUUCCAUUAGAUAGUUGGUAAGGUAACGGCUUACCAAGUCAGCGAUGGAUAGGGGAACUGAGAGGUUUGUCCCCCACACUGGAACUGAGACACGGACCAGACUCCUACGGGAGGCAGCAGUGAGGAAUAUUGGUCAAUGGGCGAGAGCCUGAACCAGCCAAAUCGCGUGAAGGAAGACUGCCUUAUGGGUUGUAAACUUCUUUUACAGGGGAAUAAAAAGACAUACGAGUAUGUCAUUGCAUGUACCCUGUGAAUAAGCAUCGGCUAACUCCGUGCCAGCAGCCGCGGUAAUACGGAGGAUGCGAGCGUUAUCCGGAUUUAUUGGGUUUAAAGGGUGCGCAGGCGGGAUUUUAAGUCAGCGGUGAAAUACCAACGCUCAACGUUGGAACUGCCGUUGAAACUGGGAUUCUUGAGUAUAGAUGAAGUAGGCGGAAUUCGUUGUGUAGCGGUGACAUGCAUAGAUAUAACGAGGAACUCCGAUUGCGUAGGCAGCUUACUAAACUAUAACUGACGCUCAAGCACGAAAGCGUGGGGAUCAAACAGGAUUAGAUACCCUGGUAGUCCACGCCGUAAACGAUGAUUACUAGUUGUAUGCGAUAUGAUAGUAUGUGACUAAGCGAAAGCGAUAAGUAAUCCACCUGGGG